RNAcentral lists this ribosomal RNA (300 nucleotides) under uncultured Sulfurovum sp. Its description in RNAcentral is "bacterial SSU rRNA". It matches the Rfam family "Bacterial small subunit ribosomal RNA", at positions 495 to 795 of the family's 1533-position model. Lineage: Bacteria; Pseudomonadati; Campylobacterota; Epsilonproteobacteria; Campylobacterales; Sulfurovaceae. The record is from RNAcentral.
UGCGGAAGUCCAGCAAGGAGCUGAGGUAUUAGGAAUGAUGAGCGAGCUGUCCGGGGUGAGUGUGUUGACAGGGUGCGUAUGCGGCUGGAUAAGUCACGGGUGAAAUCCGAUCGCAUAACGAUAGACGGGCUAUUGAUACUGUAGGGCGUGAGUACAGAUGCCGGGGGCGGAAUGGGUCAUGUAGCGGUGAAAUGCAUAGAGAGGACACAGAACACCGAUUGCGAAGGCAGCUGACGAAACUGUAACUGACGCUGAUGCACGAAAGCGUGGGGAUCAAACAGGAUUAGAUACCCUGUAGUC